This 253-nucleotide ribosomal RNA is filed under the name uncultured bacterium. RNAcentral's name for it is "partial 16S ribosomal RNA". It matches the Rfam family "Bacterial small subunit ribosomal RNA", at positions 524 to 776 of the family's 1533-position model. The record is from RNAcentral.
UACGAGGGGGGCGAGCGUUGUUCGGAAUUAUUGGGCGUAAAGGGUGCGUAGGCGGUUCCGCAAGUCCUGUGUGAAAUCUUCGGGCUCAACUCGAAGUCUGCACGGGAAACUGCGGGGCUUGAGUGUGGGAGAGGUGAGUGGAAUUCCCGGUGUAGCGGUGAAAUGCGCAGAUAUCGGGAAGAACACCCGUGGCGAAGGCGGCACUCUGGGACGGUACUGACGCUGAGACGCGAAAGCGUGGGGAGCGAACAGG